This 965-nucleotide ribosomal RNA is filed under the name Staphylococcus aureus. RNAcentral describes it as "bacterial SSU rRNA". The stretch from base 320 to 965 matches the Rfam family "Bacterial small subunit ribosomal RNA", at positions 874 to 1520 of the family's 1533-position model. The record is from RNAcentral. Lineage: Bacteria; Bacillati; Bacillota; Bacilli; Caryophanales; Staphylococcaceae.
AUAUUCGGAACAUCUUCUUCAGAAGAUGCGGAAUAACGUGACAUAUUGUAUUCAGUUUUGAAUGUUUAUUUAACAUUCAAAUAUUUUUUGGUUAAAGUGAUAUUCCUUUUGAAAAUAAAGCAGUAUGCGAGCGCUUGACUAAAAAGAAAUUGUACAUUGAAAACUAGAUAAGUAAGUAAAAUAUAGAUUUUACCAAGCAAAACCGAGUGAAUAAAGAGUUUUAAAUAAGCUUGAAUUCAUAAGAAAUAAUCGCUAGUGUUCGAAAGAACACUCACAAGAUUAAUAACGCGUUUAAAUCUUUUUAUAAAAGAACGUAACUUCAUGUUAACGUUUGACUUAUAAAAAUGGUGGAAACAUAGAUUAAGUUAUUAAGGGCNGGAGCAUGUGGUUUAAUUCGAAGCAACGCGAAGAACCUUACCAAAUCUUGACAUCCUUUGACAACUCUAGAGAUAGAGCCUUCCCCUUCGGGGGACAAAGUGACAGGUGGUGCAUGGUUGUCGUCAGCUCGUGUCGUGAGAUGUUGGGUUAAGUCCCGCAACGAGCGCAACCCUUAAGCUUAGUUGCCAUCAUUAAGUUGGGCACUCUAAGUUGACUGCCGGUGACAAACCGGAGGAAGGUGGGGAUGACGUCAAAUCAUCAUGCCCCUUAUGAUUUGGGCUACACACGUGCUACAAUGGACAAUACAAAGGGCAGCGAAACCGCGAGGUCAAGCAAAUCCCAUAAAGUUGUUCUCAGUUCGGAUUGUAGUCUGCAACUCGACUACAUGAAGCUGGAAUCGCUAGUAAUCGUAGAUCAGCAUGCUACGGUGAAUACGUUCCCGGGUCUUGUACACACCGCCCGUCACACCACGAGAGUUUGUAACACCCGAAGCCGGUGGAGUAACCUUUUAGGAGCUAGCCGUCGAAGGUGGGACAAAUGAUUGGGGUGAAGUCGUAACAAGGUAGCCGUAUCGGAAGGUGCGGCUG